Panthera pardus (leopard) is the source of this 113-nucleotide ribosomal RNA. The record is from Ensembl. NCBI's taxonomy places the organism in Eukaryota, Metazoa, Chordata, Mammalia, Carnivora, Felidae.
GACAUUUGGUAGAGACUGUUGAAACCACCUGGUCCCAGCAGACCCGAGAAGGUGGCCACAUUCGCUGGUGCUGGGGCAAGGUCAUUAAGGGUGAAGCCUGGUGCCAGAUGUGU